AGUGAACGCUGGCGGCAGGCCUAACACAUGCAAGUCGAACGGCAGCACAAGAGAGCUUGCUCUCUGGGUGGCGAGUGGCGGACGGGUGAGGAAAACGUCGGAAUCUGCCUAUUUGUGGGGGAUAACGUAGGGAAACUUACGCUAAUACCGCAUACGACCUACGGGUGAAAGUGGAGGACCUUCGGGCUUCACGCAGAUAGAUGAGCCGACGUCGGAUUAGCUAGUUGGCGGGGUAAAGGCCCACCAAGGCGACGAUCCGUAGCUGGUCUGAGAGGAUGAUCGGCCACACUGGAACUGAGACACGGUCCAGACUCCUACGGGAGGCAGCAGUGGGGAAUAUUGGACAAUGGGCGCAAGCCUGAUCCAGCCAUGCCGCGUGGGUGAAGAAGGCCUUCGGGUUGUAAAGCCCUUUUGUUGGGAAAGAAAAGCAACCGGUUAAUACCCGGUUGUCAUGACGGUACCCAAAGAAUAAGCACCGGCUAACUUCGUGCCAGCAGCCGCGGUAA
RNAcentral lists this ribosomal RNA (506 nucleotides) under uncultured bacterium. Its description in RNAcentral is "partial 16S ribosomal RNA". It matches the Rfam family "Bacterial small subunit ribosomal RNA", at positions 29 to 523 of the family's 1533-position model. The record is from RNAcentral.